AUUGAACGCUGGCGGCAGGCCUAACACAUGCAAGUCGAACGGUAACAGGAAGCAGCUUGCUGCUUCGCUGACGAGUGGCGGACGGGUGAGUAAUGUCUGGGAAGCUGCCUGAUGGAGGGGGAUAACUACUGGAAACGGUAGCUAAUACCGCAUAAUGUCGCAAGACCAAAGAGGGGGACCUUCGGGCCUCUUGCCAUCGGAUGUGCCCAGAUGGGAUUAGCUUGUUGGUGGGGUAACGGCUCACCAAGGCGACGAUCCCUAGCUGGUCUGAGAGGAUGACCAGCCACACUGGAACUGAGACACGGUCCAGACUCCUACGGGAGGCAGCAGUGGGGAAUAUUGCACAAUGGGCGCAAGCCUGAUGCAGCCAUGCCGCGUGUGUGAAGAAGGCCUUCGGGUUGUAAAGUACUUUCGGCGGGGAGGAAGGGAGUAAAGUUAAUACCUUUGCUUAUUGACGUUACCCGCAGAAGAAGCACCGGCUAACUCCGUG
This 490-nucleotide ribosomal RNA is filed under the name uncultured bacterium. Its description in RNAcentral is "partial 16S ribosomal RNA". It matches the Rfam family "Bacterial small subunit ribosomal RNA", at positions 30 to 507 of the family's 1533-position model. The record is from RNAcentral.